Long non-coding RNA from Helianthus annuus (common sunflower), 1059 nucleotides. RefSeq lists it as uncharacterized. The transcript has 4 exons. The record is from RefSeq and is a predicted model, not a curated record. Lineage: Eukaryota; Viridiplantae; Streptophyta; Magnoliopsida; Asterales; Asteraceae.
CGUUAUUUCAAGAUUGCACUAUGUAGUAUGAGAUACGUAGACAAUUAGUAACCAAAAGGAUAUUGCCAUACUUUUCUGGUAAUACGAACAAUUGGUCAAAGUAAAAGUAACGUUUAAAAGAUUUCUCGGAUCAAAUGCAUUGAGUUUGAACUCGAUGAAUUAAGCAAGAAAAGGUUUCGAGGACGAAACCUCUUUAAGGGGGGUAGACUUGUAACACCCCGAAAACAGGUUUGGAAAUUAAACCCCGUUAAUACAAAAGACGGGGAAAGUACCGUUAGCGGUAAAAGUAAACCGGAAAAUAUUAGGAAUCAAGUGAAUAAUCCUAAUAUUAAUUAAAAGUGAAUAAGAGCUUCCAGGAAAAUAGAAUGGAUAAAAGGCCCGAUUUAACGGGACUAAAAAUAAAACGGGUUUUAACUCCCGGAACCCACAAAGUUAACUAGGUAAAAUUAACCUAGUUAGUAAUGAGUAACUAAAUAAUAAACUAUGGGUUAUAGUUUCAUUUAUGAAUCUCUAAACUUGAGGGGCUAAACAUGGGCAACUAGAGAAGUGUUUUAUUAAAACACUUAAAUAAAUAAAAAAACACAUACAUGUGUGUACGUAUGCGAUCAGAAGAAGGAGCCAGGAGAGCUCAAACCCUAGUUCAACAAAUCCUCCAAAUCGAAGCUCAAAUCAAGCCCGAAUAGUCUGCAUGAUUACAAAUUCGUGAUCGCCUAGUCGUGGGGAUCAUAAGUUGACUCUAAACAAGCUAGGUGGGAGCUUGAAAAGGAACGGGUCAAACGGAUCAUGGAUGCGAAGAAUGUUUGCGCGGACGCGAGGGUAAAACGGCUUAUGGAAUUUACGUGGCUAUGAAUCAGCAAAUUAUUAAGGCAAGGUAUUAAAACGGGUCAAUACUUUGACCCGCGCCAGGUACAUUUUGGAUGCCGGAAGACGAUCAAGCUCGACGAAGGACCGAACACGAUAUAGAUACAUGCUUCCGCACUUUAACACAUUGCAAAUAUUAAACAACGAAUUCAACCACGUUAUGUAGAAUAACUUAUGAAUUGUAAAAGUUUUAAUAAA